GUGUUCGAAAUUUUCUUCUAAAUCACCAUGAUUCUGCUAAAAAAAAUUAGUGGAUCAAAUUAUCAAUCCUCUGCUACGAUCAAGGGUAAUUACAGUAGAUUGGAGUAAAGAUUGGAUCCGGCACUGAAGGACUUCAAGAAGUGGCUUAUUUUAUUAAUUAAAUAAACUUAAGAAAUAUGGUUUUUGGGUUUAUCCCUUAUUAAAAGAUACCUUUGUAAAACAUGAAUUUAUUCCAUCUAUU
This 241-nucleotide long non-coding RNA is filed under the name Helianthus annuus (common sunflower). RNAcentral's name for it is "hypothetical non coding rna". Lineage: Eukaryota; Viridiplantae; Streptophyta; Magnoliopsida; Asterales; Asteraceae. The record is from RNAcentral.